This 1440-nucleotide ribosomal RNA is filed under the name uncultured bacterium. Its description in RNAcentral is "bacterial SSU rRNA". It matches the Rfam family "Bacterial small subunit ribosomal RNA". The record is from RNAcentral.
AGAGUUUGAUUCCUGGCUCAGAACGUACGCUGGCGGCACGCCUAACACAUGCAAGUCGAACGAAGUAGCAAUACUUAGUGGCAGACGGGUGAGUAACAUGUAGGUAUCUGCCCUUUGGCCUGGAAUAACACGAGGAAACUUGUGCUAAUACCGGAUAAGUCUUUACGGAGAAAGCUUUAUGCACCAUUGGAUGAGCCUGCACUUGAUUAGUUUGUUGGUGGGGUAAUGGCCUACCAAGACUGUGAUCAAUAGCUGAUUUGAGAGGAUGAUCAGCCACAUUGGGACUGAGACACGGCCCAAACUCCUACGGGAGGCAGCAGUGGGGAAUCUUGCACAAUGGAGGAAACUCUGAUGCAGCGAUGCCGCGUGAGUGAAGAAGGCCCUUGGGUUGUAAAGCUCUUUCGUCGGGGAAGAAAAUGACUGUACCCGAAUAAGAAGGUCCGGCUAACUUCGUGCCAGCAGCCGCGGUAAUACGAAGGGACCUAGCGUAGUUCGGAAUUACUGGGCUUAAAGAGUUCGUAGGUGGUUGAAAAAGUUAGUGGUGAAAUCCCAGAGCUUAACUCUGGAACUGCCAUUAAAACUUUUCAGCUAGAGUAUGAUAGAGGAAAGCAGAAUUUCUAGUGUAGAGGUGAAAUUCGUAGAUAUUAGAAAGAAUACCAAUUGCGAAGGCAGCUUUCUGGAUCAUUACUGACACUGAGGAACGAAAGCAUGGGUAGCGAAGAGGAUUAGAUACCCUCGUAGUCCAUGCCGUAAACGAUGUGUGUUAGACGUUGGAAAUUUAUUUUCAGUGUCGCAGGGAAACCGAUAAACACACCGCCUGGGGAGUACGACCGCAAGGUUAAAACUCAAAUGAAUUGACGGGGACCCGCACAAGUAGUGGAGCAUGUGGUUUAAUUCGAAGAUACGCGCAGAACCUUACCAACACUUGACAUGUUCGUCGCGACUCUAAGAGAUUAGAGUUUUCGGUUCGGCCGGACGAAACACAGGUGCUGCAUGGCUGUCGUCAGCUCGUGUCGUGAGAUGUUGGGUUAAGUCCCGCAACGAGCGCAACCCUCACUUUUAGUUGCCAUCAUUAAGUUGGGCACUCUGAAAGAACUGCCAGUGAUAAGCUGGAGGAAGGUGGGGAUGACGUCAAGUCCUCAUGGCCCUUACGUGUUGGGCUACACACGUGCUACAAUGGUAUCUACAACAGGAAGCAAGACUGCGAAGUUAAGCAAAUCCCUAAAAGAUACCUCAGUUCGGAUUGCACUCUGCAACUCGAGUGCAUGAAGCUGGAAUUACUAGUAAUCGUGGAUCAGCGUGCCACGGUGAAUGCGUUCCCGGGUCUUGUACACACCGCCCGUCACACCAUGGGAGUUGGUUCUACCUUAAGGCAAGGUUUCAAACCCUUGACCACGGUAUAGUCAGCGACUGGGGUGAAGUCGUAACAAGGUAACCGUA